CCAUGACCUGUCCUGUUAUGUAGGAUGGAAGACUUGUGAUGGAAGACUUGUUCGAAGGUUCAGAUGCAUUGUCCAUGUCUCCACCCAAUGUGUUUAGUGAAGACCCACUAUCAUUGCCAUGUGGUUCAGAAAUGAUGUCAACCCCAAUUUCGGAAAGGAAUUCAACAAAGUGAAAGGGUCUGGUUAUUGGAGAAGGAUAAAUUUUUCCUAAUGCAGUAGCCCUUAGACAAGCACUAUAUAGGUACAGCAUUGCUGAUAAGUUUUCAUACAAAUUUGUUUGGCCCAUUGCGAAGGUUGUUAGCCACUUCUCUUCGGGUUGUCAACACCCACUGUUGAGGUUGUAAAUGAAUUGCUGUAGUAAAAAUCUACUGUAAUCCUAUUGGGUUCAAUUAAAGCUGUUAAUAACUUUAAAAUGCUCUUAAUUUUUUUUAAGGUCGUUAUAUAUGCUGAUAAUACAAUCUAUUUAGAAGC
Long non-coding RNA from Neltuma alba, 471 nucleotides. RefSeq lists it as uncharacterized. The record is from RefSeq and is a predicted model, not a curated record. The transcript is spliced from 2 exons. Lineage: Eukaryota; Viridiplantae; Streptophyta; Magnoliopsida; Fabales; Fabaceae.